UACGUAGGGUGCAAGCGUUGUCCGGAAUUAUUGGGCGUAAAGAGCUCGUAGGCGGUUUGUUACGUCGGCUGUGAAAACCUGGGGCUCAACCCCGGGCCUGCAGCCGAUACGGGCAAACUAGAAUUCGGUAGGGGAGACUGGAAUUCCUGGUGUAGCGGUGAAAUGCGCAGAUAUCAGGAGGAACACCCGUGGCGAAGGCGGGUCUCUGGGCCGAUAUUGACGCUGAGAAGCGAAAGCGUGGGGAGCGAACAGG
This 253-nucleotide ribosomal RNA is filed under the name uncultured bacterium. RNAcentral's name for it is "partial 16S ribosomal RNA". It matches the Rfam family "Bacterial small subunit ribosomal RNA", at positions 524 to 776 of the family's 1533-position model. The record is from RNAcentral.